GACGAACGCUGGCGGCGUGCUUAACACAUGCAAGUCGAACGGAAAGGCCCUGCUUUUGUGGGGUGCUCGAGUGGCGAACGGGUGAGUAACACGUGAGUAACCUGCCCUUGACUUUGGGAUAACUUCAGGAAACUGGGGCUAAUACCGGAUAGGAGCUCCUGCUGCAUGGUGGGGGUUGGAAAGUUUCGGUGGUUGGGGAUGGACUCGCGGCUUAUCAGCUUGUUGGUGGGGUAGUGGCUUACCAAGGCUUUGACGGGUAGCCGGCCUGAGAGGGUGACCGGCCACAUUGGGACUGAGAUACGGCCCAGACUCCUACGGGAGGCAGCAGUGGGGAAUAUUGCACAAUGGGCGGAAGCCUGAUGCAGCAACGUCGCGUGCGGGAUGACGGCCUUCGGGUUGUAAACCGCUUUCGCCUGUGACGAAGCGUGAGUGACGGUAAUGGGUAAAGAAGCACCGGCUAACUACGUG
RNAcentral lists this ribosomal RNA (468 nucleotides) under uncultured bacterium. RNAcentral describes it as "partial 16S ribosomal RNA". It matches the Rfam family "Bacterial small subunit ribosomal RNA", at positions 28 to 507 of the family's 1533-position model. The record is from RNAcentral.